Polyodon spathula (Mississippi paddlefish) is the source of this 1317-nucleotide long non-coding RNA. RefSeq lists it as uncharacterized. The transcript has 2 exons. NCBI's taxonomy places the organism in Eukaryota, Metazoa, Chordata, Actinopteri, Acipenseriformes, Polyodontidae. The record is from RefSeq and is a predicted model, not a curated record.
CUUGAAGACAGGCGCUGUGUAGAAGCGCCAUUAGAACAUGUUGGACAAAAGUAUGUUUUAUUGUUUUUACAAAAUAAUGCUAGGAAAAUUGAUUAAAUCUGUUGUUGCCUCAAACGCUGGUGUUUAAGUCACCUGGUUAUGAUUUUUGAGUUGAUAAAUCGAAAGGGCACAUAACAAAAAUACCAGGACAAGAACGAAACUUACGGAUUUACAGCUAAAAGAAAAACAUUUCGAUUGAGCCGGGGAUCUUAAAGAUCAUAAUAGACGUAACUGUGUAUUAGAAGUAACCGACAGAGCGAAGAUGUAAAUGAAAAGGUGGAGAAGAAACAAACGAAAGCACCCAAAUAAAGACAUCAUAAACUUACCAGACAUGUUGGGAGAAGAGAAAAAAUAAACGCUGAAAAUCUUCACAAAUUGUUGCUAGGGAAGGCUCACCCAAGUGCUUCUAAGUUCAAUAUAUGGCCAAGAAUUAAAUAUUUGCAAAAGCGACUGAAAAUCUCAAGUUAGUCUGAAAUCAGGCUGAGGGCAUAGAAUAAUAUUGUAUUACAGCUUGUAAAAUAUAAGUUUGACUUUUUCUCCCCACAUGCCAACUAUUUAAAACCUCCAGAACCCAAUGAUUUGACGAUCAAUGAUUGCGCUAUACUUUCAAUUUGAAUAUUCAAAGGCUCUACAAAAAGAGGUAUCAUUCAGUGGUACACAGUGCAUCAAUACCUAGGAGAAGGUCCCUUGUAAUAGGGUUUGAUGCAAAUUGACCCCCAGACCCAAAACAAGGUGACAUUUUAAUCAUUUUAUCCACCUUUUGAAACGGAUGCAUUAUGUUCCCUAAGAAGGUUCGCAAUUUUCAUGUUACAGGCAAGUGCCGUGUCCAAAUGCUUCCAAAUUGCACACACAGCAUCUUAAGAUUAUUUUGCAAUAUGAGGUAUCGGUUUGAUUUUCAAAUUUGAUCAUUUUAGCAGCAUUUUUCACUUUUUUAAUAAAACUUGACAGUUUGUGGGCGUGGCAUGAUGCUGCCUCUAUCCUCGCGACCACAACAGCAUCCACAGCUUGCAAGCCUCCUAUGAAAUCACAGCGGUGUCGAUCAUCUUAUAUCUCUUAUUCGCGAAGGAACAAUUUAGAUGACUUUAAUAAAGUUGUGUUUAGCAGUUUUAACACACCCAGUUUUAACACCCCCAUGUUAUUCAUUCUACCCUACCCCGUGUACACGCUAGAAGAUGCUGAGCAUCUUUUUGAUGAGAUUUGCUAUUACAAAACUACUUGAAAACAAAUGUAUGUCAUUACAUUUUAAUUGAAUUAAUUAAAUGUCAUGCCUUUGAUGAA